GGAGGGUGCAAGCGUUGUUCGGAAUUAUUGGGCGUAAAGAGCGUGUAGGCGGUCCGGUAAGUCAGAUGUGAAAGCCCUGGGCUCAACCCAGGAAGUGCAUUUGAAACUACCAGACUUGAGUACGGGAGAGGAGGGGGGAAUUCCCGGUGUAGAGGUGAAAUUCGUAGAUAUCGGGAGGAAUACCAGUGGCGAGGGCGCCCCUCUGGACCGAUACUGACGCUGAGACGCGAAAGCGUGGGGAGCAAACAGGAUUAGAUACCCUGGGUAGUCCACGCCGUAAACGAUGAGCACUAGGUGUAGCGGGUAUUGACCCCCCUGCUGUGCCGUAGCUAACGCAUUAAGUGCUCCGCCUGGGGACUACGGUCGCAAGACUA
Molecule: ribosomal RNA, 374 nt
Filed under: uncultured organism
Description: partial 16S ribosomal RNA
Rfam family: Bacterial small subunit ribosomal RNA
Source: RNAcentral